This 526-nucleotide ribosomal RNA is filed under the name Photobacterium sp. OT399. Its description in RNAcentral is "bacterial SSU rRNA". It matches the Rfam family "Bacterial small subunit ribosomal RNA", at positions 43 to 549 of the family's 1533-position model. Lineage: Bacteria; Pseudomonadati; Pseudomonadota; Gammaproteobacteria; Vibrionales; Vibrionaceae. The record is from RNAcentral.
CAGGCCUAACACAUGCAAGUCGAGCGGCAGCGACAUAACAAUCCUUCGGGUGCGUUUAUGGGCGGCGAGCGGCGGACGGGUGAGUAAUGCCUGGGAAUAUGCCCUGAUGUGGGGGAUAACCAUUGGAAACGAUGGCUAAUACCGCAUAAUCUCUUCGGAGCAAAGAGGGGGACCUUCGGGCCUCUCGCGUCAGGAUUAGCCCAGGUGAGAUUAGCUAGUUGGUGAGGUAAGAGCUCACCAAGGCGACGAUCUCUAGCUGGUCUGAGAGGAUGAUCAGCCACACUGGAACUGAGACACGGUCCAGACUCCUACGGGAGGCAGCAGUGGGGAAUAUUGCACAAUGGGGGAAACCCUGAUGCAGCCAUGCCGCGUGUGUGAAGAAGGCCUUCGGGUUGUAAAGCACUUUCAGUCGUGAGGAAGGCAUAUGCGUUAACAGCGUAUGUGUUUGACGUUAGCGACAGAAGAAGCACCGGCUAACUCCGUGCCAGCAGCCGCGGUAAUACGGAGGGUGCGAGCGUUAAUCGGA